GACGAACGCUGGCGGCGUGCUUAACACAUGCAAGUCGAACGGACAGGCCCUGCUUUUGUGGCGUUCUCGUGUGGCGAACGGGUGAGUAACACGUGAGUAACCUGCCCUUGUCUUUGGGAUAACUUCACGAAACUGGGGCUAUUACCCGAUAUGAUCUUCUGCUCCAUGUUGUGGGUUGGAAAGUUUCGGCGGUUGUGGAUCGUCUCGCUGGUUAUCGGCUUGUUGGUGUGGUAGUGACUUACCAAGGGUUUGACGGGUAGCCGACCUGAGAGGGUGGACGGGCACAAUGGGACUAAGAGACGGAGCAGAAUGCAACGGGAGGCAGCAGGGGGGAAUAUUGCACAAUAGGCGGAAGCGUGAUGCAGAAACGCCGCGAGCGGGAUGACGGCCUACGGGUUAUAAACAGAUGUGGCAUGUGAAGAAGAGUGAGUGGCGGUAAUGAGUAAAGAAGCAACGGCUAACUACGUG
This 468-nucleotide ribosomal RNA is filed under the name uncultured bacterium. RNAcentral describes it as "partial 16S ribosomal RNA". It matches the Rfam family "Bacterial small subunit ribosomal RNA", at positions 28 to 507 of the family's 1533-position model. The record is from RNAcentral.